RNAcentral lists this ribosomal RNA (497 nucleotides) under uncultured bacterium. RNAcentral's name for it is "partial 16S ribosomal RNA". It matches the Rfam family "Bacterial small subunit ribosomal RNA", at positions 28 to 507 of the family's 1533-position model. The record is from RNAcentral.
GAUGAACGCUGGCGGCGUGCCUAAUACAUGCAAGUCGAGCGAACGGACGAGAAGCUUGCUUCUCUGAUGUUAGCGGCGGACGGGUGAGUAACACGUGGAUAACCUACCUAUAAGACUGGGAUAACUUCGGGAAACCGGAGCUAAUACCGGAUAAUAUUUUGAACCGCAUGGUUCAAAAGUGAAAGACGGUCUUGCUGGCACUUAUAGAUGGAUCCGCGCUGCAUUAGCUAGUUGGUAAGGUAACGGCUUACCAAGGCAACGAUGCAUAGCCGACCUGAGAGGGUGAUCGGCCACACUGGAACGGAGACACGGUCCAGACUCCUACGGGAGGCAGCAGUAGGGAAUCGUCCGCAAUGGGCGAAAGCCUGACGGAGCAACGCCGCGUGAGUGAUGAAGGUCUUCGGAUCGUAAAACUCUGUUAUUAGGGAAGAACAUAUGUGUAAGUAACUGUGCACAUCUUGACGGUACCUAAUCAGAAAGCCACGGCUAACUACGUG